GACGAACGCUGGCGGCGUGCUUAACACAUGCAAGUCGAACGGAAAGGCCCUGCUUUUGUGGGGUGCUCGAGUGGCGAACGGGUGAGUAACACGUGAGUAACCUGCCCUUGACUUUGGGAUAACUUCAGGAAACUGGGGCUAAUACCGGAUAGGAGCUCCUGCUGCAUGGUGGGGGUUGGAAAGUUUCGGCGGUUGGGGAUGGACUCGCGGCUUAUCAGCUUGUUGGUGGGGUAGUGGCUUACCAAGGCUUUGACGGGUAGCCGGCCUGAGAGGGUGACCGGCAACAUUGGGACUGAGAUACGGCCCAGACUCCUACGGGAGGAAGCAGUGGGGAAUAUGGCACAAUGGGCGGAAGCCUGAUGCAGCAACGCCGCGUGCGGGAUGACGGCCUUCGGGUUGUAAACCGCUUUCGCCUGUGACGAAGCGUGAGUGACGGGAAUGGGUAAAGAAGCACCGGCUAACUACGU
This 467-nucleotide ribosomal RNA is filed under the name uncultured bacterium. RNAcentral's name for it is "partial 16S ribosomal RNA". It matches the Rfam family "Bacterial small subunit ribosomal RNA", at positions 28 to 506 of the family's 1533-position model. The record is from RNAcentral.